AUUAGCUGUGAAAGUCCGAGUUGGGAUGUCCUGGGAUAUUCCAACUCAUGGAACGUCUCUCGUCCAAUCAGAAACAGCUUAAUAACUCGAUAGAACCCAAUUGUUUUAUAAUAUGUAUAUAUAUUAUGUAUGCUAAACAUCAUACCUACCCCCCCCCCAGACUGGAUCGUCUUUUGGUCGAAAAAUGAUGACUGGAUAUCUAUCCGCAAAAGGGGUUAAAGCUUCUGAAGGCAGAGUGGGCAAUGUGUUGAGAAGUAUUCAUCAACCCUACCACAAUGCAAGACAGCAGGGUGCCCGGAAUCUGAACCCCAUACCCUACAAUGCAGAAUACAUGGGUCACAAGCUGCAUGUAGAUCAGAAUGAGAAGCUUGUUAUGUUUGGAGUGACUCAUGUUAUGGCUAUCGACCAUGCCAAUAAAGAACAACAUCGUGAUUUAUGAGGAAGUGUACCGGCCUGCUGUUCUUUCCUAUGGACUAUGGGACCAGGUCAGAGUUGACUGUGGGAAAGAAUUCUAUCUGGCUUUAUUCAUCCAGGAAAAACUGGCAGAACAUCGACACAAUACUCAAAGGCAGCCCUACCUUCAGACACCUUCUACAAGGAACCAUGUGAUAGAGAGAAUGUGGUCGGAGGUGAAUGCUCGAGUCAACUACCCUUUGAAGACAGCUCUGGUACAGCUGGUGGACAUGGAGGAACUGGACAUGGAGGACAACACAUCCAGGUAUUGUGUGUCAAACCUGACAUGCCAGCUGGCUAGGAUUGGCAUCACAAAUGUCGUACAGGCAUGGAAUGCACACAGGAUCCCAGGAAGGGGAAUACCAAACGAACUGGCUAAAGAAGGGUGUCCUGCAAAACUUUCUGAGGACCUUCUGCCAGUCGGUGCAGUUGCAGCUGACCUGUAUCAGCAGGAAAUGGGAUCAGCCUUGAAAAGAGAAUCCAUUUUUGGAAGUGAUCCUUUCCCCUCUGAAGAAGCCCAACAAUGGACUGAAACUGAGUUUGGUUCUCUCUUUGAUUUGCUAUCCCUCUACCAAAAUGUGGUUAACCAUAACUAUGGCCCUUUUAAAAAUGCAGUGAGGUCUCUGAUUGAUAUCACCUCAAGACAUGUGCGACCUGUUACACAGUGACCUGCAAUGGUCAAUGAAGAAGCAGUAUACCAAAAAUAACAUUUUAUUACAACAAUGAUAAAGUGGAAGUUGUCUUUUUUUUCUUUUCUUUUUUUUAAAACGGUCACACACAAUAUAAACAUUACAACAAACAACAUCUUUCUGGUCAUGUACCCAUAAUAACAUCCAACAAACAAACUGAGGUAGUUCCAGUAAUGUAAACAUAACAAACAAUAACAAACAAUUAUCUAUCAAAUCAAAUCAAUUUCUCUCUCCUUGAAAAGUGACAAGGCAGCAGAGAGACCCUUCACUUCAUGUAUUUUAUUUUCAAAGUCUCCUGCCCUGCAUUUCAAGCAGUGGUCUGAUGUGACUAACCACAGCUCCACACAGGUACGACAUCCAAUUAUCGAUUCACAGCAUGUGGCGAACAUGGGAUCCGCCAUUACAGCUGCAAGGUUAAAAAAAUAUAGAUUAUAAAUUGAUGCAGAAAAUAACAUUUAAUUGUUAGUUGCAAUAUAGAAGGAAAUUAACUGUAAGCAAUCAGAAGUGUGUUUUAUCGCCGAGUGAAUGUUGAAGAUGGCGAUGAACACCCGUGACAGCUGGUCAGCGCAGUGCUUGAGGGUGGCAGGCGGCUAUGUUUUGUACUGUAGAAUGACCUACUGUUACAUAUCUUACACGUACCUUUACACACAAGACAUGCAAAGGCUUCUUUUAAGGGCUGCAAACCGACAUUUGCCAUGAUCUCCUCCUUUUGAGACUUGGCCAGCUGAGGCAGCUGGUUGAUUGAAUUAGUGACCUCUUGGAGACUCCCGGCGGCUUGCUUCAGCUGGUCGUCCAAGGACCUCCUGCAGGCUUGAAUCUCCAUCCCUUCGACUUAAAUGUAUGAACAGAAAAGAAAGGAUUAAAGAUUUUUUUCAAAUGGUGCAUAUGAACAAAUGUUUGAAUAUCUUUCUGAAUAUUUUAUAAAUCUUUAUUUUACUCUGUAAAAGCGUCAACCUAUGAGACAUUGUUGUCAUAUAAUUGAACAAGGGCGUAACCAUGGUUUAGA
Molecule: long non-coding RNA, 2148 nt
Organism: Gadus chalcogrammus (walleye pollock)
Lineage: Eukaryota; Metazoa; Chordata; Actinopteri; Gadiformes; Gadidae
Exons: 5
Source: RefSeq, a predicted model, not a curated record